AGAGAGAGACAUGCGCGCAUAUCAAUAAGCGGAGGAAAAGAAACUAACAAGGAUUCCCUUAGUAACGGCGAGUGAAGCGGGAAGAGCUCAAAUUUGAAAUCUUCAAGGUUUUACCUUGACGAAUUGUAGUUUAAAGAAGUGUUUUCUGCUGAAGUUUUGGUAAAAGUUCUUUGGAAUAGGACAUCAUAGAGGGUGAGAAUCCCGUAUUUGACCAUUAUUUUCAGCUUUGUGAUACACUUUCAAAGAGUCGGAUUGUUUGGGAAUGCAGUCCAAAAUGGGUGGUAAAUUUCAUCUAAAGCUAAAUAUUGGCGAGAGACCGAUAGCGAACAAGUACCGUGAGGGAGAGAUGAAAAGAACUUUGAAAAGAGAGUUAAACAGUACGUGAAAUUGUCAAAAGGGAAGCGUUUGACACCAGUGUUGUUUUCUCGAAAAUCAAUUAAAAAUGGCUCGAUUUUGUAUUGCUUGAGACCUUAAAAGCUCACUGUACAUUUUUCGUGUCUUUUUUAAUGCACUUUUCGUUUAACAAGUCAACAUCAGUUUCUUUUGUUGUAAAAGGGUCAUUGGAAGGUGGCUUUCUUUUCGGAGAAAGUGUUUAUAGCCUUUGGCCUCUGCAAUCGAAGAGACUGAGGUCUGCAGCGUAGACUCUUCGGGGUUAGAUACAUUUGUGCUAAGUUAUAGCUUUUUAUAGACAACUUGUUGACUAUAAUUAGUCUUGUAGCUUACUCGCUUAUGCUAUUUUACCUACGCUUAGGAUGUUGAGUCGUAGAGCACGCAG
RNAcentral lists this ribosomal RNA (775 nucleotides) under uncultured Neocallimastigales. Its description in RNAcentral is "partial large subunit ribosomal RNA". It matches the Rfam family "Eukaryotic large subunit ribosomal RNA", at positions 23 to 626 of the family's 3401-position model. Lineage: Eukaryota; Fungi; Neocallimastigomycota; Neocallimastigomycetes; Neocallimastigales. The record is from RNAcentral.